GACAAUUCACUAACUAACUAACUUAUUUUUCUUUCAGGUGUAACAUCUACCAAUGGUUGUACAUGACAUAGACCUCCUCCACCUCUUUGCUGUCCUACUAGUCAACCCUCCUGAUCAGAGCCUUUCCUACAUAGUGAAAGGAUCAUGCCAGCCCACAUCAAACACCUGAUCAAGAACUUGUGAAUCUUCAGGCAGAAAAGAUGAAAACACCUGUUCAAAGUUCCAGUUUCCUGUACAUGGAACCAUGUACUCUGUUCCACAUGUCUUCAGUCAGUUCUGGACCCCAUGACUCGGACACUAGUUCUACCAAGGCUCAUUAGAGAGUGCUUCAGAGGAUGGCUGAAUUCACAAAACGUGGAGAAGACCGAGAGGGGGAAGUUGGCCGGUUACUAUAAUACAGGACCUUGUGAAAAGCGGAAAGAAACAGUUGAAG
Long non-coding RNA from Gymnodraco acuticeps, 433 nucleotides. RefSeq lists it as uncharacterized. Lineage: Eukaryota; Metazoa; Chordata; Actinopteri; Perciformes; Bathydraconidae. The transcript has 3 exons. The record is from RefSeq and is a predicted model, not a curated record.